This 8819-nucleotide long non-coding RNA is filed under the name Lathyrus oleraceus (garden pea). RNAcentral's name for it is "Pisum sativum (pea) long non-coding RNA (PSAT_LNC009178)". The record is from RNAcentral. Lineage: Eukaryota; Viridiplantae; Streptophyta; Magnoliopsida; Fabales; Fabaceae.
UUAGUGAUAGGCCAGGAAAGCGGUACCGUCCUUAGAGGUAUCAUAACCAGUAUAGCCAUCAUUUUGUUUAAUUGAGAGAACUGGCACGUACGACAUGUGUAACACCCUUCUAAAAUACCCCAAUAAUAAUUAAAACAACAAAUAUAAAUCAGAGUAGAUAUGCAAUUUCAGGGUGUCACACUUGACACUUCACACCAUUCACCAAAAUAGUUUGUCAUGUGUCAAUGACUCAUUUAAUAAUCAAAUAAAAUAUUGCACAAUUCGCAGCGGAAUGCAACCAUGUAACACAUUACAUGUAAAAUUAUUCAACAACCAAAUGAAAACAAGGUAAAACAUCCCGUCCGAUGUUACAUAUACCAGAGCAUGACCCACUAAGGAACUACACUAGACUUCAAGCACUAGCUUCUACUCAAUCACUGCUCGUUACCUGAAACAUAGUUGUAAGGGUGAGUUCCUCAAUCGAUAUAAUAAGCAUUAUAAAUAUCAUGUAAUGCUAGUAAUUUAACACAUUUCAAUCACCAAAUCAGAUCCACCCAUUCAGCAACGACAACAUCAACUCAUAAUCAAUACUCACACAAACACACAACACACGUAUAAUAUGGAAUACAUCCAUUCAUAUUAUACGCCAUCAUACAUUAUGCAAUGAGACUCCAUGCAUGCGGUACCGACUAUUCGUGAACACAUAGUUCAACCUCACGCCGAUCAAAUACAGAUACGCUACCAACUCACUAGUCCCCACUCAUUUGAGACCUAGUGACUCACUCACUAAUUCCUCACAUGGAAUUGCUCUACCACCAUAAAGGCCACACUAUGCACGCUAAAUCACCUAGCAUGCAAACAUCAACAACAAUCCACAAUGGACAUAUGCUCACACUCUAAGCCAUAAACAGUCCAUUCACAAUUGCAUACAUAAUAGAUACAUUCACAGCAUUAUGCAUACCAUCAUACAUCAUCAGCAUAUUUAUCACAGAAUCAUAUCAUGUCAUGCCAAAUAAUAAAUCACAGUAUUAGCACACUCUACUAAUACCUAUACUGCUCAAAACAACGGGAAAUGAUCCCUACUAUAUCAUACAUCAGCUAAAUUACAUCACUCAGCUGAAACGACCAAAACCUCACAACAACAGCUCAGAAAAAUCAAACUUCUGCCCAUACACGUAUGCCUCAUGCCCAUACGCGUAUGGCACAUUUCCUAGCCAAGCCCAUACGCGUAUGGCCUGUCUCAUACGCGUAUGAUACGCGUACCACUUCUCCCAUACGCGUACCAACAGAGACAAAACUACGUUAGAACAUCAUCUUCUUCAUUCAUACGCGUAUGGCCUCACCCCAUACGCGUACCACUCACAGGCUACGCGUAAGUACACGCGUAUGGCGCGUAUCAGCACCAGUCUCCUCCCCUCCAGGCCAUCUCAUACGCGUAUGGCCUAGUGUCAUACGCGUAUGACCAGAAACCAAAAUUCCAGAUCUGCUAUGGGUUUUUCUCUGCUACGAGAUUUCUCAAAUCCAACCUCCCACAGUCCAAUUUUUACACAGCAUUCGUUCAUAUUAUCUAACACAGAUCAUACCCAUUCAAUUUCACAAUUUCUAACCUUAUUACAUCUAAUUCCUACGAAUUUUCUUCAAUUAUAAACCCAUAUCUCAUUCAUCCAUAAGUUCACAAUUUGCAGCAUUCAUCAUCCUAAUUAGAGUCAAUUCAAUGGCUUAUUACUACCCAUUACAUGUUAACCCAUAAUACCCAUUAAACGACGAUAAACCCCCCUUACCUGAGUUAAUCCGGCAAAUCCUUUAACUUCAAGCUUUUCCCUUCUUCAACCCUUGUUCUCUUGCUCUUCCUCUUUGCCCUUUUCUCACUUUCUGUCGCUUCUCUGGUUUUCACGUGAAAAACCCUUUUUACCAAAUGGAACUCUUUAUAUAUAUUCCAACUUUAUUAUUCCAAUAAUAAUAAUCCAAUAAUAUUCCAAUUAUUUAAUUAAAUUAAUAAAUAUACUAUUAACUUAAAUUAAAUAAUUAUCAUAUUUUAUCGGGGUGUUACAACUCUCCCCCACUAAAAGAGUUUUCGUCCUCGAAAACAUACCUCAAGCGAAUAACUCUGGAUAAGACUCCUUCAUCUGACUCUCAAGUUCCCAAGUCACAUUGCCACCUGCUGGUCCUCCCCAAGCUACCUUUACCAAAGCAAUCUCUUUACCCCGCAACUGCUUCAACUCUCGAUCCUCGAUCCUCAUAGGUGAUGUUUCAACAGUCAGGUUAUCUCUCACCUGUACAUCAUCUACUUGGACCACAUGCGACGGAUCAGGAAUGUACCUCCUCAACUGAGACACAUGAAAAACCUCAUGCAAAUUCGCAAGUGACGGCGGUAAAGCGAUACGAUAGGCUACCUCCCCUAUCCUCUCCAAAAUCUGAUAAGGACCAAUAAAUCGAGGUGUCAACUUCUUCGACUUCAAAGCUCGACCAACCCCAGUUAUCGGAGUAACACGAAGAAACACAUGAUCUCCCUCUUGAAACUCAAGUGACUUCCUCCUCUUGUCGUGAUAACUCUUCUGACGACUCUGAGCAAUCCUCAUCUUCUCCUGAAUCAUCUUAAUCUUUUCCGUAGUUUGUUGAACAAUCUCCGGUCCAACCACAGCACUCUCACCGGACUCAUACCAACAUAAAGGUGUCCGACAUCUCCUACCAUACAAAGCUUCAAACGGUGCCAUACCAAUGCUCGAAUGAAAACUAUUGUUGUAGGUAAACUCAAUCAAAGGUAAAUAACAAUCCCAAGCACCUCCCUUUUCCAAAACACAAGCCCUCAAAAGAUCCUCCAGUGACUGAAUCGUCCUCUCAGUCUGACCAUCAGUCUGCGGAUGAUAUGCAGAACUCAAUCUCAGCUUAGUUCCCAAAGCCCUCUGCAAACCUUCCCAGAACUUCGAUGUAAAUCUAGGAUCUCUGUCCGAAACAAUACUCGACGGAAUACCAUGCAAACUUACAAUUUUCUCAAUAUACAACUCAGCUAAUCUCUCUAACGGAUAAUCCAUUCUGAUCGGAAUGAAAUGAGCCGAUUUUGUCAAUCUGUCAACAAUCACCCAAAUAGCUUCAAAAUUCUUAAUUGUCCUCGGUAAACCAGAAACAAAAUCCAUACUGAUACUAUCCCACUUCCACUCUGGAAUAGCCAACGGUUGCAUUAGCCCAGACGGCUUCUGAUGCUCAAUCUUUGACUUCUGACAAGUCAAACAAGAAUAAACAAAACUCGCAAUUUCUCUUUUCAUUCCCGGCCACCAAAAUAACUUUUUCAAAUCAUGAUACAUCUUCGUAGCCCCAGGAUGAAUACUCAGGCCACUACGAUGUCCUUCCUCAAGAAUACUCUUCUUAAGUUCGGUAACAUCCGGAAUACACACCCGAUUACCAAAUUUCAAAACACCAUUCUCAUCAACUCUGAAUUCACCACCUUGACCUUGAUUCACUAGAGUCAACUUAUCAACCAAAAGCACAUCGGAUUUCUGACCCUCUCUAAUCUCAUCCAGAAUACCACUCGUUAACUUCAACAUUCCCAAUUUAACACUAUUGUGAGUACUCUCACACACCAAACUCAAGUCUCUAAACUGCUCAAUUAAAUCCAAUUCCUUAACCAUUAACAUAGACAUAUGCAAUGAUUUCCGACUCAAUGCAUCAGCCACUACGUUUGCUUUACCCGGAUGGUAAUUCAAACCAAAGUCAUAAUCCUUCAGAAACUCUAACCAUCUCCUCUGUCUCAUAUUCAGCUCUUUCUGAUCAAACAAAUACUUUAAACUUUUAUGGUCACUGAAAACCUCAAAUCUUGACCCGUACAAGUAAUGCCUCCAUAACUUCAGAACAAAUACCACAGCUGCCAACUCUAAAUCGUGUGUCGGAUAGUUCCUCUCAUGAACCUUCAGUUGUCUCGAAGCAUAAGCUACAACCUGCUUAUUCUGCAUCAAAACACCACCCAAACCCAACAAUGAAGCAUCACAGUAAACCUCAAAUGGUUCCGACGGACUUGGUAAUAUCAGAAUAGGAGCAGUAGUUAACCUUCUCUUUAACUCUUGGAAACCUUCUUCACAUUUUGAGUCCCAAACAAACGCUUGCCCCUUUCUAGUCAACAUCGUCAACGGUAACGCCAACUUAGAAAAUCCCUCAAUGAAUUUCCUAUAAUAACCUGCAAGUCCAAGAAAACUCCUUAUCUCAGAAACUGACUUCGGAGCUUCCCACUUAGAUACCGCUUCUAUCUUAGAAGGAUCAACAGCAACACCACCUCUUGAAACCACAUGACCAAGAAAACUAACCUCUUCUAACCAAAAUUCACACUUGGACAGUUUAGCAAAUAACUUCUUUUCUCGUAGAACUCCUAAAACCACUCUCAAAUGUUCAGCAUGCUCUUCUUCAGAUUUCGAAUACACCAAAAUAUCGUCAAUAAACACCACAACAAACUUGUCUAGGUACGGAUGGAAAAUCCUAUUCAUAUACUCCAUAAAUACCCCAGGCGCAUUAGUCACACCAAAAGGCAUUACAGAAUACUCAUAAUGUCCAUACCUUGUUCUGAAAGCAGUCUUCUGAAUAUCCUCAGUUUUCACACGUAUCUGAUGAUACCCCGAUCUCAAAUCUAUUUUGCUGAACACACUCGCACCAACCAACUGAUCCAUCAAAUCAUCAAUCCUCGGCAAAGGAUACCGAUUCUUGAUCGUCACUUUAUUCAGUUGCCUGUAGUCCACACACAACCUCAUAGUACCUUCUUUCUUCUUAACCAAUAACACUGGUGCGCCCCACGGUGACACACUCGGACGAAUAAAUUUCUUAUCCAACAGAUCUUCCAGCUGACUCUUCAAUUCAGUUAACUCAACAGCAGACAUACGGUACGGAGCCAUCGAUAUCGGCCUAGUACCAGGUACCAAAUCAAUCGAGAACUCAACUUCACGCUCUGGCGGUAAUUCAUUCACUUCUUCAGGAAACACAUCAGGAAAAUCACACACCACGGCUAGAUCGCAAAUCACCAGUUUAUCUUUAGCCUCCAAAGUCGCUAACAGCAUAAACAACUCUGCCCCAUCUGCUACUGCCUCAUUCACCUGCCUUGCUGAUAGAAACAAACUCUUUCCUUCCUCAAUCUCAGGAAAGAUCACAGUCUUAUCAAAACAGUUGAUAUAAACUCGGUUAAACACCAACCAGUUCAUACCCAGGAUAACAUCAAUCUGCACUAGUGGAAGACACACGAGGUCCAUCCCAAAGUCUCUACCAAAAAUACUCAAAGGACAAUUUAAACAAACUGAAGUAGUAGUCACUGAACCCUUCGCAGGAGUAUCAAUCACCAUACUCCCAUGCAUCUCAGAUAUCUCUAAUUUAAGUUUCACAGCACAAUCCAAAGAUAUAAAGGAAUGAGUCGCACCUGUGUCAAUAAUAGCUACAAGAGGAAAGCCAUUAAUAUAACACGUACCUCGGAUCAAACGAUCAUCUGCAGAAGUCUCAGAACCCGAUAAAGCAAAGACCUUGCCUCCCGACUGGUUCUCUUUCUUCGGCUUAGGACACUGUGGACUGAUAUGACCCACCUCUCCACAGUUGAAACAAGUCAUAGUCUUCAACCGGCACUCUGCAGCCAAGUGACCACCUUUGCCACACUUGAAACACUUCUUCUCAGUACUGGUACACUCAUGGAUACGAUGUCCAGCCUGACCACAUCUGUAACACUUAGCAGGGGCACUGGAGUCUCCCCCACUAGGUCUCUUCAUCCCACUCUGUCUCUGGAAACCUUUGCCAGCUGCAUACGGUUUCCCACGAUCAUUCUGAUUCUUGCCUUUCCUAUCAACCCUCUGCUGAUAGCUCUCCGCUCUGGCCUUGGUAUCCUGUUCAAAAAUCCUGCAACAGUCAACCAAGUCAGAAAACACUCUAAUCCGCUGAUACCCAAUAGCCUGCUUGAUCUCGGGACGUAACCCGUUCUCAAACUUCACACAUUUUGAAAAUUCCCCAGUAGCCUCAUCAUAGGGAGUGUAAUACUUCGACAGCUCUGUGAACUUAGCAGCAUACUCAGUAACAGACCGGUUGCCCUGCUUCAAUUCUAAGAACUCUAUCUCUUUCUUUCCUCUGACAUCCUCUGGAAAGUACUUCCUCAGGAAUCUCUCUCUGAACACCGCCCAAGUGAUCUCAGCACUCCCAGCAGCUUCCAACUCAGUGCGGGCAGCAACCCACCAAUCAUCUGCUUCCUCUGACAGCAUAUGCGUACCGAACCUGACCUUCUGGUUAUCGGCACACUCAGUCACUCGGAAGAUCCUCUCGAUCUCCUUCAACCACUUCUGAGCACCAUCUGGAUCGUAUGCUCCCUUGAACAUUGGAGGAUUGUUCUUCUGGAACUCACUCAGUUGACGAGCAGCUCCCAUUCCCACAACAUUCGGAUUCCCUCCAAGUACUCCAGCUAGCAUACCCAGAGCCUCAGCAAUCGCAGCAUCGUCUCUACCUCUUCCAGCCAUCUCUAUUCUGAAAACCCAACAAGCUAAAACAAUAAGUACUGAUAGGGUUACACAACACCUAUCACGUACAGGGAAACAGAAUAAUUACGACUCGACUCGACCGACUAUGCUCUGAUACCACUAAUGUAACACCCUUCUAAAAUACCCCAAUAAUUAAUUAAAACAACAAAAUAUAAAUCAGAGUAGAUAUGCAAUUUCAGGGUGUCACACUUGACACUUCACACCAUUCACCAAAAUAACUUGUCAUGCUCAUUUAUUAAUCAAAAUAAAACAUUGCACAAUUCGCAGCGGAUAGAAAUCUAACAACAUGCAAACCAUGUAACACAUUACAUGUAAAAUUGUUCAACAACCAAAAAUGAAAACAAAGUAAAACAUCCCGUCCCGAUGUUACAUAUACCAGAGCAUGACCCACUAAGGAACUACACUAGACUCCAAGCACUAGCUUCUACUCAAUCACUGCUCGUUACCUGAAACAUAGUUGUAAGGGUGAGUUCCUCAAUCGAUAUAAUAAGCAUUAUAAAAUAUCAUGUAAUGCUAAGUAAAUUAACACAUUCAUCACCCUAAUCAUAUCACACAUUCAGCAACGGCAACAUCAACUCAUAAUCAUACUCAACACAAACACAAAACACACGUAUAAUAUUGGAAUACAUCCAUUCAUAUUAUACGCCAUACAUACAUUAUGAAAUGAGACUCCAUGCAUGCGGUACCGACUAUUCGUGAACACAUAGUUCAACCUCACCGAUCAAACCCAGAUACGGCUACCAAGCUCACUAGUCCCACUCAUUUGAGACCUAGUGACUCACUCACUAAUUCCUCACCAUGGGAAUUAGCUACCACCAUAAAGGCCAUGCUAUGCACGCUAAAUCACCUAGCAUGCAAACAUCAACAACAAUCCACAAUGGACAUAUGCUCACACUCUAAGCCAUAAACAGUCCAUCCACAAUUGCAUACAUAAUAGAUAUAUUCACAGCAUUAUGCAUACCAUCAUACAUCAUCAGCAUAUUUAUCACAGAAUCAUAUCAUGUCAUGCCAAAUAAUAAAUCACAGUAUUAGCACACUCUACUAAUACCUAUACUGCUCAAAACAACGGGAAAUGAUCCCUACUAUAUCAUACAUCAGCUAAAUUACAUCACUCAGCUGAAACGACCAAAACUGCACAACAACAGCUCAGAAAAAUCAAACUUCUGCCCAUACACGUAUGCCUCAUGCCCAUACGCGUAUGGCACAUUUCCUAGCCAAGCCCAUACGCGUAUGGCCUGUCUCAUACGCGUAUGAUACGCGUACCACUUCUCCCAUACGCGUACCAACAGAGACAAAACUACGUUAGAACAUCAUCUUCUUCAUUCAUACGCGUAUGGCCUCACCCCAUACGCGUACCACUCACAGGCUACGCGUAAGUACACGCGUAUGGCGCGUAUCAGCACCAGUCUCCUCCCCUCCAGGCCAUCUCAUACGCGUAUGGCCUAGUGUCAUACGCGUAUGACCAGAAACCAAAAUUCCAGAUCUGCUAUGGGUUUUUCUCUGCUACGAGAUUUCUCAAAUCCAACCUCCCACAGUCCAAUUUUUACACAGCAUUCGUUCAUAUUAUCUAACACAGAUCAUACCCAUUCAAUUUCACAAUUUCUAACCUUAUUACAUCUAAUUCCUACGAAUUUUCUUCAAUUAUAAACCCAUAUCUCAUUCAUCCAUAAGUUCACAAUUUGCAGCAUUCAUCAUCCUAAUUAGAGUCAAUUCAAUGGCUUAUUACUACCCAUUACAUGUUAACCCAUAAUGCCCAUUAAACGACGAUAAACCCCCCUUACCUGAGUUAAUCCGGCAAUUGAUUCUUUAGCUUCAAGCUUUUCCCUUCUUCAACCCUUGUUCUCUUGCUCUUCCUCUUUGCCCUUUUUCCACUUUUGAGUCGCUUAUCUGCUUUCACGUGAAAAACCUUUUUACCAAAUGGGACUCUUUUCUGAUUCCAACUUUAUAUUCCAAUAAUAAUAAUCCAAUUAUUUAAUUAAAUUAAUAAAUAUACUAUUAACUUAAAUUAAAUAAUUAUCAUAUUUUAUCGGGGAGUUACAACAUGCGAUAUUCAACAUCAACUACCAUAACUUUCAAGGCACAAAAUAUAACACUAAUAUUUAAAAUACUAUCAAUUGAAACUAUCAUAAUCACAGUUAAAAACAAAGACCAACUAAAAUACAAUUAAAAGUGUUGUUGCACUAAAACUGAGUUCAAGAUCGGAACAUCCUACAAAGGAAAUCACUGUGGAAAAUUAAGAAAAAUUUCUAACUCAUUUGAAACAGAAACAACGUUAAUGGCAAAACCGGAGUACCCAACAUAGCAUAUCAUAAUUUCAAUAGAACAACCAUAAAUACUUACAUGACUCCAUGAUAA